UCCCUGCACUCUUUGGUUCUUAUCCAAUAAGCCCUGGACUGUGCCGCAGGUUUAUAACAUUAUCCCCUUCCCCUCUUUACAAGCUGUCCCAGCGAGUGUAUAAAUAGGGUUUCAUCAUGCCCAUCCAUUGCAAUUGUUGUUUUGAACUUGACAUCGCAUGUCAUGUCCUUUCUCCACAUAAGAAAUGUUCGGAGUGUGUCCGUCAUGGUUGCCGUUGUGAAUGAGAGUUGGUUUCUGAAGAAGAGUGGUUGAAAUUGGAUUGUGCCAAGGAAAAGAUGAAAUUGGAUAUUCAAGCAAGUGAAGAUUCAGUGAGUGAACUGAGUGCUCGACUGGACAAACUAAGUAGUUCUCUGUUUGGGGCCAUUGCAAAAUUAAAACAAUUAAAAUGAAGUGUGGAUUUCCUUGAAGGUUGUGAGUCUAAAUUCUUGCAGAGAGAUUUAGAAGUUCUUGAAUCUCUUGAUAAGGAGAAAUCCUCUAAUUCUUCUGAUCCUUCUGUCCUGGAUGUCGCGGACUUCCUUGUUCCUUUUGACAAUAUCAUUUCUCUGGAUUUUCUUGGUCCUCCUGCAGUUUCUGCUGAAGAAACUGUUGAAUUGCAUCCUUUGCUUUCUCCAAAUGCUCCAUAGGUUCCCAGAUGUUUUCUGAGGUAUCAUAUUCUUUCCAUUUUACCAAAUAGUAUUCCUUGUUGCUAAUUCUCUGUCUUUCUAGUAUUGCUUCAACUUCAUAUUCUGGUUCUGUGGUGUUGAUUUCCAUUCUUUGCUGUUCCGCAUUUUCAGGUGCUUUUUCCAAUAAUGAAACAUGGAAAUUUGGGUGUAUAGGCAUGGUGUCCAGUAGUCGGAGUUUGUAAUUAACUGGUCCAGUCUUUUGUAGA
Molecule: small RNA, 868 nt
Filed under: Histoplasma capsulatum var. duboisii H88
Lineage: Eukaryota; Fungi; Ascomycota; Eurotiomycetes; Onygenales; Ajellomycetaceae
Description: Histoplasma capsulatum H88 hypothetical RNA
Source: RNAcentral